AUUGAACGCUGGCGGCAGGCCUAACACAUGCAAGUCGAACGAGUGGCGGACGGGUGAGUAAUGUCUGGGAAAAUGCCUGAUGGCGGGGGAUAAAUACUGGAAACGGUAUCUAAUACCGCAUACCAUCCGAUGUUCCCAGAUGGUACUAGCUAGUUGGUGGGGUAACGUAGCACAAAGGCGACGAUCACUAGCUGGUCGGAGAGGAUGCCCAGCCACAGUGUAACUGAGACACGUUCCAGACUCCUACGGGAGGCAGAAGUGGGGAAUAUUGAACAAUGGGCGCAAGCCUGAUGCAGCCAGGCCGCGUGUAUGAAGAAGGCCUUCGGGUUGUAAAGUACUUUCAGCGGGGAGGCGUUACCCGCAGAAGAAGCACCGGCUAACUCCGUGCCAGCAGCCGCGGUAAUAC
RNAcentral lists this ribosomal RNA (406 nucleotides) under uncultured bacterium. RNAcentral's name for it is "partial 16S ribosomal RNA". It matches the Rfam family "Bacterial small subunit ribosomal RNA", at positions 30 to 526 of the family's 1533-position model. The record is from RNAcentral.